Long non-coding RNA from Triticum aestivum (bread wheat), 1592 nucleotides. RefSeq lists it as uncharacterized. NCBI's taxonomy places the organism in Eukaryota, Viridiplantae, Streptophyta, Magnoliopsida, Poales, Poaceae. The record is from RefSeq and is a predicted model, not a curated record. The transcript has 2 exons.
CUUAUUCUGCUAACAGUCUCUUAUUCCGCUAACACCGGAAAACGCGCAACCCACUACCUCCACUAACCCCGACCCUAGCUUACUCUUCUGCUCACUACCUCCACUAACCCCGACCCUAGCUUACUCUUCUGCUCACUACCUCCCACCCCACUGCGCCCCCACCACCCACCCCUCGACGCCCCACCAGAAUCUCUCUAGCACCCCCACCCCCACCCUUCCGGCGCCGACCACCAGAACCGCCCCAGCACCUCCACCCAUCUGGCGCCCCACCCGCACCGCCCUAGCACCCCCACCCCCUCCACACCUCCGGCGCCCCAACGCGCCACCAGAUCCACCAGGGCGCCUCUAGCCGUCUCCAUCCGCCCUUUUCUUGUAGAUCGCCGGCGACAUCCAGGGCGCACGGCCACCUUCCAGCAACCACCGUGACCAGAUCCGGCGACUUCGGCCUCCUCCUUCCUGCAACAGGCCGAGGUUGAAAAGGAGGCCGGCGAGCUCGAGCCACCGCCCCACGGCUCCCCCGCGCGAAUGGAUCCAGGACUACUAGGUGGCCAAAUCCGGCAGGCGGCAUCACCGGUAAGGCACUCGAUGGCACGCCCCUGCCAUGGAGAACCACCACUGCCCGAAGAGCAAAACGAGCGUGCGCAAAGCUCCCCGUGGGCUGCUCUGUACGAUGGCUCCACCGUGCAGUCCGCACGCGGCCCCUUGUCCGCCUGCCCACCUCGCAAUGGCAGUUGCCGGUCGCUGCACCUUCACGCGGAGGCGGCCAAGGACGCAAAAGUGGAGAAGCGGCGACGAGAUCUCAUUUUCUAGCCCCCCGACAAGCUACCCCUCCUCCCCUUGAAGUCAAACCGCACCGACCUUGCAGUGCGCCGGCGCGCGCGAUGUGGUUCACGCGUUGCCUUGCUGUUGCCCCUCAUCUGUGCGUUUCUUGUUGUUCUUCUGAAGAGAUAUAAAUAUGCAAAUGCAGUCAACUGUUGUUUUGCUAAGGGGAGCCUUGGCGCAGUGGUAAAGCUGCUGCCUUGUGACCAUGAGGUCAUGGGUUCAAGUCCUGGAAACAGCCUCUUACAAAAAUGUAGGGAAAGGCUGCGUACUAUAGACCCAAAGUGGUCGGACCCUUCUCUGGACCCUGCGCAAGCGAGAGCUACAUGCAUCAGGUUGCCCUUUUUUAGUCAACUGUUGUUUUGCUCUUCAGGUUCAUUUUUACUUCUCUUUUUUUGCAGAAAAGAUAGCCAGUGCAUUCCGCCGACCUCCUCCCACAUGCCCACCUGAAGUGCAUUGCUGUUGGGCGCCCUUGGAUCUGAUUGUGUAUUUUUUUUAGAAACGUGUAUUUUUUUAAGUAGUCUUUGUAAAGUUUUGGUCUAUUUGUGGACUCCCAUUUGAUUGCAGCCCAUGUGCACGACGCGUGCAGUCCUGUUGGCCGGGCUGAGCAGGAUGGUUCCCUGUUGUAGUGCACGUUGCCGGGCGUGUAGUCCAAAACAUCUCCCGGUGCAUCCCGUGCUGUUGGACAGCCAUCGGUGAACCGAAGAAGUUGGGAUAUACUUUGUGUGUGAUUGUAAUGUGGAGACAUAAAAAGGGACUAUUUGUGUGGAUUA